UAAAGGAAUUGGCGGGGGAGCACUGCAACGGGAGGAGCGUGCGGUUUAAUUGGAUUCAACGCCGGAAAACUCACCGGGGGCGACCGGCCUAUGUGGGCCAGGCUGACGACCUUGCCCGAAUAAGAGCCGGAGAGGUGGUGCAUGGCCAUCGUCAGCUCGUACCGUAGGGCGUUCACUUAAGUGUGAUAACGAGCGAGACCCCCGUCCCCAGUUGCCACCUGUCCCUCCGGGGGCAGAGCACACUGGGGAGACCGCCAGCGCUAAGCUGGAGGAAGGUGGGGUCAACGGUAGGUCAGUACGCCCCGAAUCCCCCGGGCUACACGCGCGCUACAAAGGGCGGGACAAUGGGUUGCGACCCCGAAAGGGGGAGCUAAUCCUGAAACCCGUCCGUAGUUCAGAUCGAGGGCUGUAACUCGCCCUCGUGAAGCUGGAUUCCGUAGUAAUCGCGGGUCAACAUCCCGCGGUGAAUGCGCCCCUGCUCCUUGCACACACCGCCA
RNAcentral lists this ribosomal RNA (497 nucleotides) under uncultured archaeon. Its description in RNAcentral is "bacterial SSU rRNA". It matches the Rfam family "Archaeal small subunit ribosomal RNA", at positions 857 to 1351 of the family's 1478-position model. The record is from RNAcentral.